Molecule: ribosomal RNA, 224 nt
Filed under: uncultured bacterium
Lineage: Bacteria
Description: partial 16S ribosomal RNA
Rfam family: Bacterial small subunit ribosomal RNA
Source: RNAcentral
UGGCGGACGGGUGAGGAGCGCGUAAGGACCUGCCCCUGGGAGGGGGAUAACAGCUGGAAACGGCUGCUAAUACCCCAUAGCCUGAGGAGGGAAAGGAGAGAUCCGCCCAGGGAGGGGCUUGCGUCUGAUUAGCUAGUUGGGGGGGGGUAAUGGCCUCCCAAGGCAACGAUCAGUAGCUGGUCUGAGAGGAUGAUCAGCCACACUGGGACUGAGACACGGCCCAG